This 1149-nucleotide long non-coding RNA is filed under the name Phasianus colchicus (ring-necked pheasant). Its description in RNAcentral is "lncRNA (ENSPCLG00000002991.1)". Lineage: Eukaryota; Metazoa; Chordata; Aves; Galliformes; Phasianidae. The record is from RNAcentral.
GGGCAAAAAAAAAAAAAAAAAAAAAAGUAAAAAUAAAAUAAAAUAAAAAUCUGAAAACAUGAACUGUGUAUAUUCAAGGACAUCCAAAUAAGUACCUUUAAUUAAUCUCAUCAUGUUUGGACUUGCAGUGCUGCUCAUACGCAUACACAAUAAAAGACAACAGAAGCAUUUCCAUUUAAGAGAAGUGAAUAUAUGGCAAGACUGAAUAACUAAAAUUAAGACACUGAAAUAUGAAGUAAAAUGGUAAGAUGCACAAUUUUACCACUGAAGGUAUUUCACUUUUCUAGCUAGAAAAAUACAGACUAGUGCAGGAAAGACAUGCUGGAGUAGUUUGUCUUAUGUAGGUAGAUGGUCAGGAAAUUAGGACAUCACCUAACUCCAAAAUCUAGGAUUUUAAGUGUCCCUGUUUGGUUUCUUGGCUCCCAUCAGCUAGACAACAGAUGCUCAUCAUCUAUGUUAGUUGGUAAUCAAUCAAUCAGUAUUUUCAUAUCUCGGCUGUAGUUACAGCUGGGUCCCUCUCCAGACUCCUGUAACCUGAAAGGUUCUGAUGUGUUCUACAGACAACAGGGAGCUAAUCUCUGCACAACUUGCUCCUUCUAUUACUGAAAUUCAGUGCAGAUUCCUUUUCUCACUCUAAAGGGCAUUUCUUGAUUAAAAAUACGUGCUUCUUAGCAGUUUUCAUCCUUCCUAACAUAAGGCAAACUCUUCCUAGGUGAUCAGUGUUGGAUUUUUCCCUAGAACCUUCUCAUCCUACUUAAAAAAUGGCCUUGCAACUGGGGGCUGUGCACCAAUGCUUCCUGAGGAUCAGCUCCUGUUCCUGCAAAGUCAUCCCAGGGGCCUUUGUAUCUCCUCAAGGAAGACCCUCUCUCUACUUCAUACCUUGUUCAACCGCCCCAGGAGAUCUUUCUGCCAGCUCCCAGUAUUACUCAGAUGGAAGAGAUACUGUAUGAACACAUAUAUAGAAGAUAUUUUCAUUUUCAGGAGGAGAAACAAUAAAUAUAACAUUUAACAAUAACUUGUAUGCUUCUACUUGUUUACAUUUAGGAUUUACAGGCCCAUAACUAUGAAGAUUCAUAACAUUAGUUCCAUAUAUCACCAAAUCGUUGCAGAGUGAAAUACACGGCACAUGGUGCAGUGCUCAUGUAGUGC